CAGCAGCCGCGGUAAUACGAAGGGUGCAAGCGUUAAUCGGAAUUACUGGGCGUAAAGCGUGCGUAGGCGGUUUGUUAAGUCUGUUGUGAAAUCCCCGGGCUCAACCUGGGAAUGGCAAUGGAUACUGGCAAGCUAGAGUGUGUCAGAGGAUGGUGGAAUUCCCGGUGUAGCGGUGAAAUGCGUAGAGAUCGGGAGGGACAUCAGUGGCGAAGGCGGCCAUCUGGGACAACACUGACGCUGAGGCACGAAAGCGUGGGGAGCAAACAGGAUUAGAUACCCGCGUAGUCCCUGUCUCUUAUAC
RNAcentral lists this ribosomal RNA (301 nucleotides) under uncultured bacterium. RNAcentral describes it as "partial 16S ribosomal RNA". It matches the Rfam family "Bacterial small subunit ribosomal RNA", at positions 509 to 807 of the family's 1533-position model. The record is from RNAcentral.